Molecule: long non-coding RNA, 1476 nt
Organism: Phyllostomus discolor (pale spear-nosed bat)
Lineage: Eukaryota; Metazoa; Chordata; Mammalia; Chiroptera; Phyllostomidae
Exons: 3
Source: RefSeq, a predicted model, not a curated record
GAGAGAUGGGGAAGUUGGGGGAUUUCCAUUAAGGAGAAACCAGAGAAGAUUAAAGGGUGCAGAAGGGUGGUGCUGCCCUUUAAGAAAGGCUGCCAGAGCUCUGGGGCUGAGGCUCUUAAGAAACUUCUGUAGUGUGCCAGGUAAAGUGAGAAAGCUCUUCGGGGGGUCAAAAGAGAAGCUACAAGAGGAGGCCCUAGGCUCCGGCUUUGGGACAAGACACAGCCCUCACCUCUCCUGGGACCCAAGAUUCUGAUACUCUCUAGGAUGAGACCAGCAGACCUUGCAGGAAUGAGGGCACCACUUUCUGGGAUUGUUCCUUUUCUGAUGAAAACCAGAGCAGAAUAGGCCCAAAGGACCAACAGGGCAAGCGCCCAAGGGACUGGAGGACACUGGAGGAGGUGACAAUGUGAGGUGGGGUGGGACCAGCCCUUUAACAUAGUUUAGAAUUUGGGCCUUGCUGGUCAAAAUAAGAUGUAUUUUGUGAGAGUGUGAGGUAACCGCCCUUCAUAAGGAUGAUCUGGAAAAGGUCAAGCGAAGGGCCUUGAAUAGCCCUAAUGCCCCUGAAACAGCCUAUUGUAUAGCUAUUGUCUAUACAUGUAAAGGAACCCUUCUUGACCCUAUUCAUACCUUUUUUUUUUUUUUUGCCUCUGGUGUUUCCCAAGUGAAUAAUGACAUACUACUUAUCCCCAGAAGCAGCCAACCUCCUUUAAGCUUCGGCAACAAAAUAGCUCCACGGCAUGUCUUGAGCUCCUACCAUGUGCCAGGCAUCACACUAGAUGCCGGGGGACAUGGAGAUGAAUACCACAUGGUCUCUUCUCUGGGUAGCCCACAGUCUGCUUUUCAAGAUUUUCCUUCAUGCUGACCUUUUGGGAUUUAAUUAGCACAUUUUCAUCGAUCCCCUUUUAUUUUCCUGUGCAAGGACCAUAUCCCUCAGCCUCCAUCUUUCCACAAUCUUUUAAAUUUUGUCUUGUUUGGUAACACCACUUUUCCCUUGACGGAUUUAGCUUUUUCUCUGGACUCCUGUAUGUCUGCCUUGGGAGCUCAGUGGCCAGGAUUAAGUUCUAUACUUCACACACAGAUGCUACAUGAAGAUGUGAGCAAGAGUAAGGCUCUGUUUUCUAACUUAUUUAUUCAUUUGCCAUUGUUUUGUACACCCAGUGGUUACUGAGUGCCUACUAAGCGCCAUGCACUCGCUGUGCUAGGUGCUGACGAUCAAUGGCAUCGCCCUCAUGAAACCUGUAGUCUGGGGUCUGUGUUCAGCGGGGCAGAAGGUAAGGAAUUCAAGUGUCUAACUACAAACUGAGGAAAGUGUUGUGAAGAAAAGUACAGGGCACUAUAGAAAUGUAGAAACAAGAGGCUUAUCUAGUCUGGAAGCUGUAGGAAAGCAUUCCCUGGGGAAAUGACAUUUGACCUGAGAUCUGGAGGAUUAGUAGACCUAGGAGAAAAAGAAUGCAGAGAAAGAGCAUUCCAGGCAGA